UUACCUGGCAUUUUCGAAACCAUUUCACUGCUCAAGUUAUUAGUUACAUAGUACACAGCCGUAACUAAUCCAAUGAAAACAACGGAAGUAGUUGUUAGCAAAAUAAAUCGAAAUUUCCAUCCUUCCAUGGCAUUUUUGAAUGUAUUUCGGUGAAAUUCAGCGUAUAAAUGUUCUUGGUCUGGUUUUUGAGUGCUUUCAUAAAUUCCUUCGCUGAAAACUGGGUUAACAUUUGAUCCCAUUGCAAAUGUUAUGAAAGAAU
RNAcentral lists this long non-coding RNA (259 nucleotides) under Mytilus galloprovincialis (Mediterranean mussel). Lineage: Eukaryota; Metazoa; Mollusca; Bivalvia; Mytilida; Mytilidae. The record is from RNAcentral.